This is a transfer RNA of Leptospirillum ferrodiazotrophum, 75 nucleotides long. It matches the Rfam family "tRNA". From Rfam's summary of the family: Transfer RNA (tRNA) molecules are approximately 80 nucleotides in length. Their secondary structure includes four short double-helical elements and three loops (D, anti-codon, and T loops). Further hydrogen bonds mediate the characteristic L-shaped molecular structure. tRNAs have two regions of fundamental functional importance: the anti-codon, which is responsible for specific mRNA codon recognition, and the 3' end, to which the tRNAs corresponding amino acid is attached (by aminoacyl-tRNA synthetases). tRNAs cope with the degeneracy of the genetic code in two manners: having more than one tRNA (with a specific anti-codon) for a particular amino acid; and 'wobble' base-pairing, i.e. permitting non-standard base-pairing at the 3rd anti-codon position. Lineage: Bacteria; Pseudomonadati; Nitrospirota; Nitrospiria; Nitrospirales; Nitrospiraceae. The record is from Rfam.
GCGCCCGUAGCUCAGCCCGGAUAGAGCAACAGACUACGAAUCUGAAGGUCGCAGGUUCAACUCCUGCCGGGCGCA